UAUUAGAGGCACUGCCUGCCCAGUGACAUAUGUUCAACGGCCGCGGUACCCUGACCGUGCAAAGGUAGCAUAAUCAUUUGUUCUCUAACUAAGGACCUGUAUGAACGGCCACACGAGGAUUCCACUGUCUCCUAUUUCCAAUCAGUGAAAUUGACCUUCCCGUGAAGAGGCGGGAAUAAUACUAUAAGACGAGAAGACCCUGUGGAGCUUAAAUCAAUCAGCCCAGUUAAUAACCACUAAACACCAAUAGGAAUAAACACACAUAACAUGAGCUGCCAAUUUUGGUUGGGGUGACCUCGGAGCAAAACAAACCCUCCGAAUGAUAAGUACUAAGACCUACAAGUCAAAGUCCACAGUAUCACUUAUUGACCCAAAAUAUUGAUCAACGAAACCAGUUACCCCAGGGAUAACAGCGCAAUCCUAUUCAAGAGCCCAUAUCGCCAAUAGGGUUUACGAACCUCGAUGUUGGAUCAGGACAU
This 479-nucleotide ribosomal RNA is filed under the name Euphractus sexcinctus. RNAcentral's name for it is "partial 16S ribosomal RNA". It matches the Rfam family "Bacterial large subunit ribosomal RNA", at positions 1844 to 2545 of the family's 2925-position model. The record is from RNAcentral. Lineage: Eukaryota; Metazoa; Chordata; Mammalia; Cingulata; Chlamyphoridae.